GCCUGCCCGUGGCUCCCGAGCCUCCCCCGAUCUGUCAAAGGGAAGGGGGCAGGAGAUUGGGGGAGGCUUGAGAGUCACGGGUGGGC
This is a non-coding RNA of Podarcis lilfordi (Lilford's wall lizard), 86 nucleotides long. The record is from the annotation of a GenBank genome assembly. NCBI's taxonomy places the organism in Eukaryota, Metazoa, Chordata, Lepidosauria, Squamata, Lacertidae.